RNAcentral lists this ribosomal RNA (492 nucleotides) under uncultured bacterium. RNAcentral's name for it is "partial 16S ribosomal RNA". It matches the Rfam family "Bacterial small subunit ribosomal RNA", at positions 28 to 507 of the family's 1533-position model. The record is from RNAcentral.
GAUGAACGCUAGCUACAGGCUUAACACAUGCAAGUCGAGGGGAAACGACAUCGAAAGCUUGCUUUUGAUGGGCGUCGACCGGCGCACGGGUGAGUAACGCGUAUCCAACCUGCCCAUCACUUGGGAAUAACCUUGCGAAAGUAAGACUAAUACCCAAUGACAUCCCACGAAGACAUCUGAAUGGGAUUAAAGAUUUAUCGGUGAUGGAUGGGGAUGCGUCUGAUUAGCUUGUUGGCGGGGUAACGACCCACCAAGGCAACGAUCAGUAGGGGUUCUGAGAGGAAGGUCCCCCACAUUGGAACUGAGACACGGUCCAAACUCCUACGGGAGGCAGCAGUGAGGAAUAUUGGUCAAUGGGCGAGAGCCUGAACCAGCCAAGUAGCGUGCAGGAUGACGGCCCUAUGGGUUGUAAACUGCUUUUAUAAGGGAAUAAAGUGGGUCUCGUGAGACUUUUUGCAUGUACCUUAUGAAUAAGGACCGGCUAAUUCCGUG